Molecule: ribosomal RNA, 253 nt
Filed under: uncultured bacterium
Lineage: Bacteria
Description: partial 16S ribosomal RNA
Rfam family: Bacterial small subunit ribosomal RNA
Source: RNAcentral
UACGAAGGUCCCGAGCGUUGUUCGGAAUCACUGGGCGUAAAGGGAGCGUAGGCGGCGCGGUAAGUCAGAUGUGAAAUCCCGGGGCUCAACCCCGGAACUGCAUCCGAUACUGCCGUGCUAGAGUAAUGGAGGGGUAGCUGGAAUUCUCGGUGUAGCAGUGAAAUGCGUAGAUAUCGAGAGGAACACUCGUGGCGAAAGCGAGCUACUGGACAUUUACUGACGCUGAGGCUCGAAGGCUAGGGGAGCGAAAGGG